GAUGAACGCUAGCGGCAGGCUUAAUACAUGCAAGUCGUGGGGCAGCACAGGUAGCAAUACUAGGUGGCGACCGGCAAACGGGUGCGGAACACGUACGCAACCUUCCCAAAACUGGUGAAUAGCCUUCCGAAAGGAAGAUUAAUACACCGUAACAUAAUGAAGUGGCAUCACUUUAUUAUUAUAGCUCCGGCGGUUUUGGAUGGGCGUGCGCCUGAUUAGGUAGUUGGCGGGGUAACGGCCCACCAAGCCUACGAUCAGUAACUGGUGUGA
Molecule: ribosomal RNA, 270 nt
Filed under: uncultured bacterium
Lineage: Bacteria
Description: partial 16S ribosomal RNA
Rfam family: Bacterial small subunit ribosomal RNA
Source: RNAcentral